This is an RNA transcript of Carya illinoinensis, 1571 nucleotides long. It is a transcript of the gene named putative hydrolase C777.06c, with no coding region annotated. The record is from RefSeq and is a predicted model, not a curated record. The transcript has 11 exons. NCBI's taxonomy places the organism in Eukaryota, Viridiplantae, Streptophyta, Magnoliopsida, Fagales, Juglandaceae.
GAAUCUUCCUCCCCUCGUUCACUCUACGCCACUGUUCCCUUUCACAAGCACUUCUUCAUACACCCAGCGCCCAGACCGGUACGGCCACCUAACCAGACCCUUCUCUCACGUGUUCCACGGCAAUGGCGAACCCUAUUCUCGCAGGAAACGGCAACUCUCCUGACCUCGGCCCAUCGUCUGCUCUUAUCUUCCUCGGGACUGGGUGCUCCAGUGCCGUUCCCAACGCAAGGUGCCUGAUCCAGCCGUCCGAUCCCCCCUGCAACAUCUGCUUCCAGUCAUUGUCGGUCCCACCAAUGCAGAAUCCUAAUUACAGGUGCAACACAUCCCUUCUAAUUGAUUAUUGUGAAAGAGAGGGUAAUCACAGCUAUAUAUUGAUUGAUGUUGGGAAGACUUUUCGGGAGCAAGUACUUCGGUGGUUUACCCUCCAUAAGAUUCCUAGAGUGGAUUCUAUUAUUUUGACUCAUGAACAUGCUGAUGCAGUUCUUGGUUUGGAUGACAUACGUGCUGUGCAACCCCAUAGCCCUACAAAUGAUAUUGAUCCCACUCCCAUAUACCUAACUCAGCAUGCAAUGGAAAGCAUUGCAGAGAAAUUUCCAUACUUGGUUCAGAAGAAACUUAAAGAAGGUCAGGAAGUGAGGCGGGUAGCACAGCUUGACUGGAAGAUAAUAGAGAGCGACUGUGAAAAACCUUUUUCUGCAUCAGGCCUUGAAGUUGUUCCUUUGCCAGUGAUGCAUGGAGAAGAUUACGUAUGUUUGGGUUUCCUCUUUGGUGACAAGUGUAGAGUAGCUUAUAUAUCUGAUGUUUCACGCUUUCCUCCAAAGACAGAGUAUGUUAUUUCGAAAAAUGGUGCUGGACAGUUGGAUAUUCUUAUAUUGGAUACAUUGUAUAAGAAAGGAUCCCAUAAUGUCCACUUUUGCUUGCCACAGACACUUGAAGCUGUGAAGAGGAUAUGUCCUAAGCAAGCCCUGUUAAUUGGAAUGACUCAUGACUUUGAUCACCACAAGGACAAUGAAUUCCUGAUGGAGUGGUCCCAAAGGGAAGGAAUACCUGUGAUGCUUGCACAUGAUGGUUUGAGAAUUCCUAUAGACCUGUGAUAUGAAACGUUGCUAAAUUGGUUUGAGAGAGAUGACCAGAAACAAAGAUCAAUGUUGAUGUUGGAGGAUGCACAGUGUAGGUAACCCAAAAACUUUUCACAGUGCAGCAGUACUCUUUAAUCAUUCUCUCCUCAUAGGUUGAUGAGCACUGAAUUAACGUGAAGAUAUCUACGCACAGUUUCCACCCGUUGGGUUUUCAGAAACUAUGGCACCAUGAUAUUAGUGUCAGACUAAUAAAAAAAAAAAUUGUAGUAGUUUCAGACUAUUUCUAUUGUCAACAACUUCAUGAAGAUUUAGAGCAAUUUUACAAGAUUGUGGGGGGAAGUGGUUUUUAUAAUUAAUAGCCGUGGGGUAGAAAUGACUUGAAUUUGUAUCUUUGAGGAACAUAUUAGUUUAUUGUGUAUUUCCAAACAAAUCUUUCUUGGAUUUGUCAAAGUUCAAAAUAAGAGGAAGUUUUCAGAUUGCAAGAGAAGUGAA